RNAcentral lists this ribosomal RNA (292 nucleotides) under uncultured bacterium. RNAcentral describes it as "partial 16S ribosomal RNA". It matches the Rfam family "Bacterial small subunit ribosomal RNA", at positions 505 to 796 of the family's 1533-position model. The record is from RNAcentral.
GUGUCAGCCGCCGCGGUAAGACGAACCGUGCGAACGUUGUUCGGAAUCACUGGGCUUAAAGGGCGCGUAGGCGGUCUGCCAAGUCCGGGGUGAAAUCCUCCAGCUUAACUGGAGAAGUGCCUUGGAUACUGGUGGACUUGAGCGAGGCAGGGGUUGUGGGAACUUCCGGUGGAGCGGUGAAAUGCGUUGAUAUCGGAAGGAACGCCGGUGGCGAAAGCGCACAACUGGUCCUCUUCUGACGCUGAGGCGCGAAAGCCAGGGGAGCAAACGGGAUUAGAAACCCUCGUAGUCC